AUAAACUUGAAGGUUCAAGGAGUUAGCCCUUUGUAUCAUCAUUGGCAACUUGUGUAUAGCAAGUGCCUUUGUUUGUUUUUAUGUUUCUUUGAGACAGAAUUUCUCUGUGUAGCCCUGGCUGUCCUGGACUCAUUCUGUAGACCAGGCUGGCCUCAAACUCAGAGAUCCUGCUUCUGCCUCCUGAGUGCUGAGAUUAAAGGCAUGCGUCACCAUGCCCAGGUGGUUAUUUUCAGUCAGAAUCUUGCUGUGUAGCUCAGGCUAGCCUUGAACUCAUCAGUCCUUCUACUAAAGCCUUUCAAGUGCCUGGAUCAUAAGGCUUGCACAUACCCAGCUACAGAGAAGUAUCUUAGCUUUGGUUUGCCAAAAAACAGGGUCUGAAGCUUCUGUGCAGGCUAGAAAGUCCUCCUUCCCAAGGGUAAAGGAAGAGCGGGUACGAAGGUGUGUUAAACCAGCUGCUUUUCAGACCUCUGUGGCUCCGUACCUUGGAAAUAAAAAGCAAUUUGAAAUGCCCUGUCAGAUGAAUAGUCAUUUCAGAAGAGACCUCAGUCCACCAGCUUCUAUUCCACCCUGGGAACACUUAACUCCUCUCU
Molecule: long non-coding RNA, 590 nt
Filed under: Rattus norvegicus (Norway rat)
Lineage: Eukaryota; Metazoa; Chordata; Mammalia; Rodentia; Muridae
Description: long non-coding RNA NONRATT024082
Source: RNAcentral